UUAUUUAUUAUUAUUAUUUUUUUGUGGGGCAGGGAUUGCAUUGCAUGCAUCUCUGCAUUUAUGCUUAAAAUUCUUUUAUACACCUAAAAGUUUUGAGAAGGGAGUCAGGACUGUGCUAAUGUUGUCUAGCUUUUACCCUGUUUGGAAUUUAUUUAUGAAUUCUAGAAGCUUUUAUAUAGACUGAAGAUCAGACAUGCUCAGGCUUAAGCCAGUAAAAAUGGAAUAGCACUGACACAGUUGCCUUAAAUAGGAGAAGCAAUGUAACUGCAUGAUGUUUUGUUUGCAAGAUAUGUCUUCAUUUUGGCUGUAUCAUCAGGAAUUUUAGUAUGCAGUGUUAGAAUGAUGUUUAGGGGACAGUGCUUUGGAGGGUUUGUUCAUUAUACAUGCAUAAUAUAUGUAUCUUGUUGUCAGGAACAAGUUAUAUCUAGCCCAGAUUUUGUUAUUGAUAUCCCUGUAGUAAGUUAUUCUGGGACCCAAUUCCCCCUGUACAUCACUAUUUAAAAUGUUCCAGCUGAUUGGGAUGUAGGUUCUAGCUUUUGGAAUAGAAGUUUAUUGUAAUUUUGCUGAUUAAUAUGUGAUUAUUUGAAUUGUAUUGCGGUUGAUACUUGAUAAUGAAAUGAUAUGGUAUUUAGACUGAAUAUUAGGCAUGGGAAGAAGGAAGAUAGGCUUUGCAGAUAUUUAUUGAUUAGUAAAAAAGGUAAGGUCUUACAAACAGACCUUGAUUGGCCCUUUUUGUAAUUUAUGCCUGGAAGAGGUAUUCACUCUGCUACAUGUUUUGUGUCAACAAUUUGACCAGAUUUGCAUACUGAUUCCUCAAUUGAGUUGGUUUAUUUAAGUGCUUUGUUUUGUUGCUUAAAUAUUGUUAUUUCAACUUAAGGCAUGGAUAUGGAAGA
This 893-nucleotide unclassified non-coding RNA is filed under the name Hevea brasiliensis (rubber tree). The record is from RNAcentral. Lineage: Eukaryota; Viridiplantae; Streptophyta; Magnoliopsida; Malpighiales; Euphorbiaceae.